UGUGAUAAACUUCAGGUGAAUGGAUUC
This 27-nucleotide non-coding RNA is filed under the name Rattus norvegicus (Norway rat). The record is from RNAcentral. Lineage: Eukaryota; Metazoa; Chordata; Mammalia; Rodentia; Muridae.